RNAcentral lists this ribosomal RNA (460 nucleotides) under uncultured bacterium. Its description in RNAcentral is "partial 16S ribosomal RNA". It matches the Rfam family "Bacterial small subunit ribosomal RNA", at positions 338 to 795 of the family's 1533-position model. The record is from RNAcentral.
CCUACGGGUGGCAGCAGUGAGGAAUAUUGGUCAAUGGACGAGAGUCUGAACCAGCCAAGUAGCGUGAAGGAUGACUGCCCUAUGGGUUGUAAACUUCUUUUAUAUGGAAAUAAAAUGUUCCACGUGUGGGAUUUUGUAUGUACCAUAUGAAUAAGGAUCGGCUAACUCCGUGCCAGCAGCCGCGGUACUACGGAGGAUCCGAGCGUUAUCCGGAUUUAUUGGGUUUAAAGGGAGCGUAGGUGGAUUGUUAAGUCAGUUGUGAAAGUUUGCGGCUCAACCGUAAAAUUGCAGUUGAUACUGGCAGUCUUGAGUACAGUAGAGGUGGGCGGAAUUCGUGGUGUAGCGGUGAAAUGCUUAGAUAUCACGAAGAACUCCGAUUGCGAAGGCAGUUCACUGGACUGCAACUGACACUGAGGCUCGAAAGUGUGGGUAUCAAACAGGAUUAGAUACCCCAGUAGUC